RNAcentral lists this transfer RNA (69 nucleotides) under Lissemys punctata andersoni. Its description in RNAcentral is "transfer RNA-His". It matches the Rfam family "tRNA". Rfam says of the family: Transfer RNA (tRNA) molecules are approximately 80 nucleotides in length. Their secondary structure includes four short double-helical elements and three loops (D, anti-codon, and T loops). The record is from RNAcentral. Lineage: Eukaryota; Metazoa; Chordata; Testudines; Trionychidae.
CUUAUAUAGUUUUAAAUAAAACAUUAGACUGUGGCUCUAAAAACAGGGGUUUAAAUCCCCUUAUGAACC